ACGCUGGCGGCGUGCCUAAUACAUGCAAGUAGAACGCUGAAGAGAGGAGCUUGCUCUUCUUGAAUGAGUUGCGAACGGGUGAGUAACGCGUAGGUAACCUGCCUUGUAGCGGGGGAUAACUAUUGGAAACGAUAGCUAAUACCGCAUAACAAUGGGUGACACAUGUCAUUUAUUUGAAAGGGGCAAUUGCUCCACUACAAGAUGGACCUGCGUUGUAUUAGCUAGUAGGUGGGGUAACGGCUCACCUAGGCGACGAUACAUAGCCGACCUGAGAGGGUGAUCGGCCACACUGGGACUGAGACACGGCCCAGACUCCUACGGGAGGCAGCAGUAGGGAAUCUUCGGCAAUGGGGGCAAUCCUGACCGAGCAACGCCGCGUGAGUGAAGAAGGUUUUCGGAUCGUAAAGCUCUGUUGUAAGUCAAGAACGAGUGUGAGAGUGGAAAGUUCACACUGUGACGGUAGCUUACCAGAAAGGGACGGCUAACUACGUGCCAGCAGCCGCGGUAAUACGUAGGUCCCGAGCGUUGUCCGGAUUUAUUGGGCGUAAAGCGAGCGCAGGCGGUUUGAUAAGUCUGAAGUUAAAGGCUGUGGCUCAACCAUAGUUCGCCUUGGAAACUGUCAAACUUGAGUGCAGAAGGGGAGAGUGGAAUUCCAUGUGUAGCGGUGAAAUGCGUAGAUAUGUGGAGGAACACCGGUGGCGAAAGCGGCUCUCUGGUCUGUAACUGACGCUGAGGCUCGAAAGCGUGGGGAGCGAACAGGAUUAGAUACCCUGGUAGUCCACGCCGUAAACGAUGAGUGCUAGGUGUUGGAUCCUUUCCGGGAUUCAGUGCCGCAGCUAACGCAUUAAGCACUCCGCCUGGGGAGUACGACCGCAAGGUUGAAACUCAAAGGAAUUGACGGGGGCCCGCAC
This 911-nucleotide ribosomal RNA is filed under the name uncultured bacterium. RNAcentral's name for it is "bacterial SSU rRNA". It matches the Rfam family "Bacterial small subunit ribosomal RNA", at positions 33 to 926 of the family's 1533-position model. The record is from RNAcentral.